UCUCAAGCGUGAGGUAAGGGCAAUUCGUGGAUGCCUUGGCAUGUACAGGCGAUGAAGGACGUGGCACGCUGCGAUAAGCGUCGGUGAGGUGUGAGCAACCUUUGACCCGACGAUUUCCGAAUGGGGAAACCCACCUAUCCGUUUAAUCUCGAACGUUGUUGAAAGACGGCGAGCGGGGUUAGGUGGUUCAGGUAUCUUGAGACUGAAUCCAUAGGUUUCGAGAAGCGAACCCGGUGAACUGAAACAUCUCAGUAGCCGGAGGAAAAGACAUCAACCGAGAUUCCGUUAGUAGUGGCGAGCGAACGCGGACCAGGCCAGUGCCUGACAUUCAACUAGCAGAACGAUCUGGAAAGUUCGGCCAUAGCGGGUGACAGCCCCGUAUGCGAAAGUGAUGUGUCAGGACUCGAGUAGGGCGGGACACGUGUAAUCCUGUCUGAACAUGGGGGGACCACCCUCCAAGCCUAAAUACUCGUACAUGACCGAUAGCGAACUAGUACCGUGAGGGAAAGGUGAAAAGCACCCCGAU
Molecule: ribosomal RNA, 526 nt
Filed under: Halothiobacillus sp.
Lineage: Bacteria; Pseudomonadati; Pseudomonadota; Gammaproteobacteria; Chromatiales; Halothiobacillaceae
Description: partial 23S ribosomal RNA
Rfam family: Bacterial large subunit ribosomal RNA
Source: RNAcentral